RNAcentral lists this ribosomal RNA (775 nucleotides) under uncultured Alphaproteobacteria bacterium. RNAcentral's name for it is "bacterial SSU rRNA". It matches the Rfam family "Bacterial small subunit ribosomal RNA", at positions 46 to 869 of the family's 1533-position model. The record is from RNAcentral. Lineage: Bacteria; Pseudomonadati; Pseudomonadota; Alphaproteobacteria.
GCCUCAUACAUGCAAGUCGAACGAGGUCUUCGGACCUAGUGGCGCACGGGUGAGUAACAUGUGGGAAUCUACCUGAAGGUUUGGAAUAACUGCGGGAAACUGUAGCUAAUACCGAAUGUGUCUGCAAAGAGAAAGAUUUAUCGCCUUCAGAUGAGCCCGCACUAGAUUAGCUAGUUGGUGAGGUAACUGCUCCACCAAGGCUACGAUCUAUAGCUGAUUUGAGAGGAUGAUCAGCCACACUGGGACUGAGACACGGCCCAGACUCCUACGGGAGGCAGCAGUAGGGAAUAUUGGACAAUGGGGGAAACCCUGAUCCAGCAAUGCCGCGUGAGUGAAGAAGGCCUUAGGGUUGUAAAACUCUUUCAUCAACGAUGAUAAUGACAUUAAUUGAAGAAGAAGCUCCGGCUAACUUCGUGCCAGCAGCCGCGGUAAUACGAAGGGGGCUAGCGUUGUUCGGAAUCACUGGGCGUAAAGCGUAUGUAGGCGGAUCAAAAAGUUAGAUGUGAAAUCCCUGGGCUCAACCCAGGAACUGCAUUUAAAACUAGUGAUCUAGAAUUUGGUAAGGGUUAGUAGAAUUUCCAGUGUAGAGGUGAAAUUCGUAGAUAUUGGAAAGAAUACCAGAAGCGAAGGCGACUAACUAGGCCAUUUUUGACGCUGAGAUACGAAAGCGUGGGUAGCAAACAGGAUUAGAUACCCUGGUAGUCCACGCAGUAAACGAUGAGUGCUAGUCGCUGGUACAAUAGUAUCAGUGUCGUAGCUAACGCAUUAAGCACUC